UACGUAGGGUGCGAGCGUUAAUCGGAAUUACUGGGCGUAAAGGGUGCGCAGGCGGUCUUGUAAGUCAGAUGUGAAAUCCCCGGGCUUAACCUGGGAAUUGCGUUUGAAACUGUGAGACUAGAGUGUAGCAGAGGGGGGUGGAAUUCCAUGUGUAGCAGUGAAAUGCGUAGAGAUAUGGAAGAACAUCGAUGGCGAAGGCAGCCCCCUGGGUUAACACUGACGCUCAUGCACGAAAGCGUGGGGAGCAAACAGG
This 253-nucleotide ribosomal RNA is filed under the name uncultured bacterium. RNAcentral's name for it is "partial 16S ribosomal RNA". It matches the Rfam family "Bacterial small subunit ribosomal RNA", at positions 524 to 776 of the family's 1533-position model. The record is from RNAcentral.